RNAcentral lists this ribosomal RNA (438 nucleotides) under Triticum aestivum (bread wheat). RNAcentral describes it as "partial small subunit ribosomal RNA". Lineage: Eukaryota; Viridiplantae; Streptophyta; Magnoliopsida; Poales; Poaceae. The record is from RNAcentral.
AUGACCGAUGAUAAAGAUGAGAUGGAAGCUUUGACAACCUCAUUCUACAAAGAGCUAUACACCUCUGAAGGAGUGCAGGACAUGGAUCAUGUGCUCAAUACUGUUCCAGUAAAGGUGACUGCAGCUAUGAAUGAAUCCUUGAAUGCCCCGUAUACUCAGGAAGAAGUCAAGCUAGCUUUGUUCCAGAUGUUCCCCAUUAAGGCGCUGGGUCCCGACGGAUUUCCAGCACAUUUUUUCCAGCGACACUGGGACGUGUGCGGAGACGAGGUAACUAGAGUGGUUCUGAGGAUUGUGGAGGGCUCUGAGUCGGCGGAGUGCAUAAAUAACACCAUCCUAGUUCUUAUACCUAAGGUAAAAAAAUCCCACACUUUUGUCGCAAUUUCGCCCAAUCAGUUUGUGCAAUGUGUUAUACAAAAUAGCUUCGAAGGUGAUUUCUAA